AUCGCUUCUCCACCUCUUGGCUAAGAUCAAGUGUAGUAUCUUCUUAUCAGUUUAAUAUGUGAUAUGCCCUCUAUCCGAGGACAAUAUAUUAAGUGGGUUUUUGGAGCAGGGAGUGGGAAUAGGUGGCUCCGAUGGUAAAGCGUCUACCUCCAAUGCAGGAGACCCGGGUUCAAUCCCUGGGUUGGGAAGAUCUCCC
This is a small nuclear RNA of 196 nucleotides. Its record names the gene U2. It matches the Rfam family "U2 spliceosomal RNA". Rfam says of the family: U2 is a small nuclear RNA (snRNA) component of the spliceosome (involved in pre-mRNA splicing). The record is from Ensembl.